Long non-coding RNA from Homo sapiens (human), 290 nucleotides. RefSeq lists it as uncharacterized. Lineage: Eukaryota; Metazoa; Chordata; Mammalia; Primates; Hominidae. The record is from RefSeq and is a predicted model, not a curated record. The transcript has 3 exons.
CACCUCAACCUCCCAAAGUGCUGGGAUUACAGAUGGUGUCAGAAGCGGGGUUCAAAGUAGAGCUUUAAUGACCCCCAGAAGUGCUGAGUGAACAAGCAAGGUACCUGCAAGGACCCACUUGUGUCCUUUGAUCUCUCAGAGCAGUGGUAUUUACACACAGAUGCUCCAUGAUGGGUCACAUCCAAACUUAUCAUAAAGUCAAAAAAUUGUAAGUCAGACUAUCACAAGUCAGAAACCAUCUGUAUGUACAUUCUUGUGUCUAGUCACUUGUGUGGGAAUGAAGGAGGGAG